Molecule: ribosomal RNA, 364 nt
Filed under: uncultured eukaryote
Lineage: Eukaryota
Description: partial 18S ribosomal RNA
Rfam family: Eukaryotic small subunit ribosomal RNA
Source: RNAcentral
CAAAAGCGUAUAUUAAAGUUGUUGCAGUUAAAAAGCUCGUAGUUGAACCUUGGGCUUGGCUGGCCGGUCCAUCUUUUUUGAUGCGUACUGGACCCAGCCGAGCCAUUCCUUCUGGCUAGCCUUUUGGCGAACCAGGACUUUUACUUUGAAAAAAUUAGAGUGUUCAAAGCAGGCCUUUGCUCGAAUAUAUUAGCAUGGAAUAAUAGAAUAGGACGUUAUGGUUCUAUUUUGUUGGUUUCUAGGACCAUCGUAAUGAUUAAUAGGGACGGUCGGGGGUAUCAGUAUUCAGUUGUCAGAGGUGAAAUUCUUGGAUUUACUGAAGACUAACUACUGCGAAAGCAUUUACCAAGGACGUUUUCAUUAA